MicroRNA precursor from Gallus gallus (chicken), 108 nucleotides. NCBI's taxonomy places the organism in Eukaryota, Metazoa, Chordata, Aves, Galliformes, Phasianidae. The record is from Ensembl.
AGUCUCAUCUCCUGGGUCUGCCGCCUGGUGAUACGGGAGCAAGGCUGCAUACUUGAACCUUAGUUCUUUGCAGCCUGGCCGUAUCUCAGGAUGCUGUCCUGCUAGAGG